This 662-nucleotide long non-coding RNA is filed under the name Actinia tenebrosa (Australian red waratah sea anemone). RNAcentral's name for it is "uncharacterized LOC116304812, transcript variant X1". The record is from RNAcentral. Lineage: Eukaryota; Metazoa; Cnidaria; Anthozoa; Actiniaria; Actiniidae.
GGAAAAUAGUUUUCUGAAUGGGAAGAUUUUUCUAGAAAAUCUGUAGUAGCAGGUCAGGUGAUCGAGUUUUCCCGCCCUUGGGUGGAUAACCGAUAUCGAAUCACGAUUUCUAAAACCGAAACGCCAACCGUCAUCGAUCGCUCUAAUUAACAGACUGUCAAUCUACAAGCACAUGCGGUAACGUCAUGUCACGAUAUGCCGUAACCUACUGCGCAUGACCAAAAGCAAUUCACGCGAAACAUCAGUGGCCCACAAACAAAACACUAUAAGCAGCAGGAGUAACCUUACCAGGAACGUGCAGAAGCAAGAAUUCGAAAUGGAUUGGAAUCCAAGAGUCUGAAUCUGUGAGGCAAAACAGAUUCAAAACGUCUUCAAAAAUGCUCCUUCGAUAGGAUAUUUAAGAAAACAGAACGUUUGAUUGCUUCAAGGACGAAAACAGAAAUGAAUACCAAAAAGAACUGAGAAAGUCAGAGAAGAAACUGAAUGUCUAGUCUAAGUCAAACGCCGAGAGAGCACGGCUUACUUCAUCCCUUUUAAUUUAUUUUUCUCUGUUUUAUUUAAUCUUUUGAUAUCGUGUGAGCUCCCAACGAGUUUUCCCGCUGUUUGUCUCACUUAAUGAUGCUUGGAAAAUGUUUUCCUUAUAUAAAUAUUUCCACAAUUAA